UAAAAUAUCGCCGGUUUAUCUCUGUUUUUAUCAGAAUGAAUUGGAGAGACAUCGGAUCAACGAGCUCAGGCGACGAUUUUUCCAUGAAAACGGUUCAAACCUGCAGGAUUUUCAUGAGCAAGAUGUAAAACGAGUCCGCGAUGACGAUCAUUGGUUGAGUUGCUUUCUUAAAUCUCGUAAACAGGAAGUAAAUGAUGCGUUACCAGCCUUGGUGGAAUGCGUAAAAUGGAGGAAGUCAUUUGGAGUGAAUGACCUUACAGAGAGAUCUGUUGACCGCAGAUUGCUUGAGGCUGGUUUCCUCUUUCCAUAUAAUCAGGACAAAGAUGGCAACACUCUCGUCAUCUUCACUGGAAAACUUUACAGAAAAGAUCCUCAACAACAUCCAGAAGUAAAGAGACUUCUUGUUUUUCUCUUAGAGAGGCAUG
This is a long non-coding RNA of Orbicella faveolata, 425 nucleotides long. NCBI's taxonomy places the organism in Eukaryota, Metazoa, Cnidaria, Anthozoa, Scleractinia, Merulinidae. The record is from RefSeq and is a predicted model, not a curated record.